UAGAGAGAGACAUGCGCGCAUAUCAAUAAGCGGAGGAAAAGAAACUAACAAGGAUUCCCUUAGUAACGGCGAGUGAAGCGGGAAGAGCUCAAAUUUGAAAUCUUCAAGGUUCUACCUUGACGAAUUGUAGUUUAUAGAAGUGUUUUCUGUUAGUGGAGUGGCAAAAGUUCUUUGGAAUAGGACAUCAUAGAGGGUGAGAAUCCCGUAUUUGGUCAUUCCUCCUAGCGUUGUGAUACACUUUCAACGAGUCGGAUUGUUUGGGAAUGCAGUCCAAAAUGGGUGGUAAAUUUCAUCUAAAGCUAAAUAUUGGCGAGAGACCGAUAGCGAACAAGUACCGUGAGGGAAAGAUGAAAAGAACUUUGAAAAGAGAGUUAAACAGUACGUGAAAUUGUCAAAAGGGAAGCGUUUGACACCAGUGUUGUUUUUCCGAAAAUCAAUUACGAAUGUUUUAGUUUUUGAGGAGUUAUGACUUCAUCGGCUUGCUCCUUUCUUUAUGAAACUUUCUUAAUGCACUUUCGGUUAACAAGUCAACAUCAAUUUCUUUUGUUGUAAAAGGGUAUGAGGAAGGUGGCUUUCUUUUCGGAGAAAGUGUUUAUAGCCUUGUGCCUCUGCAAUCGGAGAGAUUGAGGUCUGCAGCGUAGAUCCUUCGGGGUUAGAUACGUUUGUGCUAAGUUAUAGCUUUUCAUAGACAACUUGUUGACUAUGUUUAGUCUUGUAGCUUACUCGCUGACGCUAUUUUACCUACGCUUAGGAUGUUGAUAGUCACAGCGUGUAC
This 775-nucleotide ribosomal RNA is filed under the name uncultured Neocallimastigales. RNAcentral's name for it is "partial large subunit ribosomal RNA". It matches the Rfam family "Eukaryotic large subunit ribosomal RNA", at positions 23 to 644 of the family's 3401-position model. Lineage: Eukaryota; Fungi; Neocallimastigomycota; Neocallimastigomycetes; Neocallimastigales. The record is from RNAcentral.